Molecule: microRNA precursor, 169 nt
Filed under: Medicago truncatula (barrel medic)
Lineage: Eukaryota; Viridiplantae; Streptophyta; Magnoliopsida; Fabales; Fabaceae
Description: MIR2619 microRNA precursor family
Rfam family: MIR2619 microRNA precursor family
Source: Rfam by way of RNAcentral
AAAGCCCCCUCUAUGUUUUGAAACUGUAGCAGUUUUGGCCCCCAAGGCCAAAAAAAUAAAAAAUAAAUAUCACGUGGCACCUCACUUAGGGUGCCACGUCAGCGUAAACUGAGUCAAAAUUGUCCUUGGGGGCAAAACUGCCACAUGUGCAAAACUUAGGGGGUGAUUU